This 2565-nucleotide long non-coding RNA is filed under the name Lepisosteus oculatus (spotted gar). RNAcentral describes it as "lncRNA (ENSLOCG00000022006.1)". The record is from RNAcentral. Lineage: Eukaryota; Metazoa; Chordata; Actinopteri; Semionotiformes; Lepisosteidae.
AAUGUAUUUUAUGUUUCCCAAAAGCAUGUGAAAUAUGUGUAGCAUAUUAAAAAUGAGGACGCACUGCCCAUAUGAAUUUUCCUGGGGUGACAUUUCUUCUGCCACUGCACUGCUUGCAAACAAUAGUCUAUGCAAACAAUUUUAAUCUUGUGUAAAGGGGCGGUAUAGCAUAGUGGGUAAGUGUCUAGACUCACUCGUAGCUGGUAGGUUGUGGGUUCAAACACAGCUGUUGUACCUCGUGUGAAGCCCCUUUAUCCCAGUUGCUCCAGUCCACCAUCUCUCUAUCCAGGGGGCCAUAUGCUCUCUGAUCACUUCACACCUAGAAAACGGCAUAAGCUCUGAUGAGCCAUUGAGAGUGCCUCGAAUGGAAUUAUCCAUACAUCCUGCACCAGACUUCUUCCCACAGGUUGAAUUCAAAUAAAGUUCCAAAUUUAUUUAGAACAAAAAAAAAGAAAAGAUUUUUGUUUUUCCACCUGCACUGAAACAAGGUUUUUAAAACUCCUUGUUCAAUUGUGUGAUUUACAGCUCAGCAAACCUCAGACAAUGCAGCCACUUCUCCUCCCUUGUUAAACUCCACUGACAAGAACGUAACAGAGCUCCAUCCCAGGGGUACAGACCUUCGCCUCGCCCUCCCCCUGGCGGUGGCCCCGGUCCUGCUGGCGGUCACAGCUGCUGGAUACUUCAAAAUCCGGAGAAGGAGGGAUUCCAGAAAAGUGGGUGCUGCAGGGCCCCAGGAUUCAGUCAGAGCAUGUGAGGUACUGCAUGUCUUAUUUACCAGACUGACAUUUUUGGCGGUUACUCCUGACAAAGAGUUUUACUUCUUUAUUUUUGUCUUUUUGAUGCACGCAAUCUUUUCUCUCCCUCACUAUUUUGACCCCAGCUCAAAAUGGGCAACUCAGAUUUCAACAGACCUGCAGUGCACAUGCACAGGGUCUGGUGAUCGGCGAGUGUGCUCUGAGCUCAUCGGAUCCUCUUCACCACACAGUGAACUUGAUUAGUCAUGUUCUUCCAUGAAACAAGCAGUAAAGCAGAUAUGAAGAGACUGUUUCAGUCUAGUUACUUUCUCUUGCCCCAGAGCUUAACAUUUAAGAAGUCAAUCUUUGUGCAUUGUACAGAUUGCAAGUGGAACUGCUGCCGCUGACCUUGCAUGGUUACAGGACCAGCAAGUGAGCUGUAUGUGUGUGGAUGGAAAAAAAAUAACUAAUCACAAUCCAUGAAACUCAAACCACCAACAUUUUUAUGUCUCUUGCACAAGCAAAAGCUGAAUUCCACAGUCUUUGAGUUUUUCUUAAGGGCAGAAUUUGGCCUACACAUGUGGUUGCAUUUCUUAAGGAUAAACCAGCUUUUAAUUGUGGAUCUGACAGACAAAGAUCCACAUUAGACAGACAAAGAGAUGGCCCAGAUGUAGGAUUGCACUGCAUGUACCAUCCCAUGCGAAAGUUCGCUGUAGCAUUUCUGCCACGGUGCCAUUGUUUUAACACGAUCAUACCGGUUUAUUUUCCUCUACUGUGUCUUUUUUCCCUUUGUGUGGGAUGUGGUUUUACUCUAUUGUUCAAUGCUUUACCAUGCUUUGCAUCUGUUAACUCUGCCUGUAUACCAGCGCUUCUAGAGCUCUUGUGAUGAUGCAGUUUCUGGGCGGAAUGCUUUGCAGAUCCCUGGUGGAGGUGAGCCCGGCGUGAGGGAUCUCACCUACGCCGUUCUGACAUUUCACCCUCGCGUCUCCUCUGAAGAAGCCAGAUAUGCAAACGUCCAGCCGGGCCAGGGGCCGAAAGCCCCGGAGACAGUGGAAUACAGCUCAGUCUCCUUCCUGUCCACUGCAGGGCAAGGACAUCAGGAUGGGAAGUAGGAGAGAGUUACAGGGGCAUUCCUGGGUUUGUGGGUCAGCAAUGGAUCCAGGCAAAAGGGCUGGCAUCUUGCAUCUUAAAUGACAGCACCCACAAGAACACCAUAACCAUCUCGUGCCGGGUUGGAUCAGAGCUCCAUUACCUUAGAGGCAUCAGUGACAAAAGAGAGAUUAACAGAAAUAUUUAUUGCACUUAAAAUUAAUCAAUUAAAAUAAAUUGCCCAGUAAUAUCUUUUCUAGACGCAGGGUGUUAAUGCCUAUGUCUGCAACAGAACGUAUUGGAUCUGAAAGCACUCUGACAUGUUCAGCACACACAAUAAUUAAUCAUUUAGCAAAAACAGAUGACAGAAUCCAAAGGAAUAUCAGGACUGCUUACAAAACUUGUUUUUUCUCCAAAAAUGGACUAUACUUUCCAAGCUUGUUUUAAAUAAGUAAUAAAUCGUCUGCUUACUGGUUUGACCUGUUAAUCAUUUACAAUGGGUUUUGAGAAAACGAGGAAAAAAAGCCUUUGGAAAAUCACCCUGUUAAUAGUUGAACAAGCUUCUUCAUUACGCGUCUCAUAUCCGUAGCUAAGUUGAAUGCGCCCUCUUGUGGUGCCACAAGUGCAAAGGAAGUUAUAAGUUUCUAACUGCUGACGCAACUUAAAAUGUAAUAUCUCCGGCUGAGCAUUCACUACCGUGCUACAAAACAGAAACAUUUGUGUAACAUUAUGUACGUUAUAA